GUUUACAUUUAUACCACCCUGAACACACCUGACUUUGUCUGACCUAGAAAGCUAAGCAGGGUUGGGCCUUGUUAAUC
Molecule: ribosomal RNA, 77 nt
Filed under: Cercocebus atys (sooty mangabey)
Lineage: Eukaryota; Metazoa; Chordata; Mammalia; Primates; Cercopithecidae
Source: RNAcentral